UUAGAAAGCACACGUUUUCCUCUUUCCACUCACUCCACGUUGCCUAAACCGCGGUUUCCUCUUCCCGGCGGCGCUGGCACUGCGGCAGCUGAGGCGCGCUCCGCUCCCGGGAACCUCGGGCCUUGGCGCGCCAUUUUCCGUCGCGCAGUUAGUUGCCGGGGCGUCCUGAGACCUUUUGAUCGGGUCCCUUUCGUCUCUAGGCCCCUCGGCGAUCUCCGAUCAGACUCACCCACCAGAGCACCGCCACAAAGGUCCGGGGAAGAAACCUCUCACCUCCCUGGAGUCUCAGCUCAGCGUUUGGGAAGGAACCGUUUAAAAACCCAGGACAUACACGAUCUUGGUGCCAAUGUGUUGGCGCUGUGGGACGAGCGUAGUUGGACAACUUUCAAACCACAGCGCCAGGGCAGCCAAGCAUCCUGACGACCGGAAGUGCCUGUGGGGAAGCUGGACUUGCACUUAGAUUGCACUUGGAGACCUCCAGCCUCCUCUAACCCAGGCCUCUUAAGGAAUGUGAAUCAAUAAGUGGCAUAAAUUAUUCACCUCAAGGAACAUUCUCAGAAAUGAAUGUCAGACUGGAGAAAUCGCCAGCAGGGUAUUCGCUCUUUUCAGUGUUUGGCUCUCGGUUCACCUUCUGAAUGGCUGGGCCUGUCUAAGCUAUGAAACAUUCAGAUCUCAGAGAAGAAUGAUGACUCUAAGUUGUGCUGAGAUUUCAAGGCAACUCUGAGUUUCCUUUUCAGCCUCUUCCGCAGGGUCAGGGAAAGAGCGUGUGGGCACAGUGUCAUUGUGGGCAAUGCCAUAGGACCCCUCUGUGCCGUGAUCUCAGGGUCUGGAAAGGACCUGUCCUCUGUUCAAACAGGCCUUUUCUCCUUGCUGGCUGAGAUAUCAGAAAUUCAACCCCUCUCUUAAAACCAUUCUGAGGGCUUUGCCUCUUUGGAAGGCUCCUUUCAAACUGCAAAGCCUCAGGAGGGGAGGAGAGGAAAAUUAAAAUGUAUUGAACACCUUCUGGGAUUUUUUUCAUUGUCAUGCAUCCUCCCCCACAAAAUAGAUAUGCUUUGCAAACUUGCUUUGUUAGUUUUUUCUUUUAAAUUGUUGGAAGUUCCUUUCCAUACGCUGCAGGUGUGGCCCUAAGAAAACAUAACAAACAAACAAACAAAAAAGACACACAUUGUGGACACACUAUAUACACACACACACACACACAAAACCCAUGUAAUUUUCAUGAAUAUGUAAGUAAGGAAAAUGACUGGAAGCGAGUAUAUUUUAAGUAUUAAUAUUGGUUAUUUCUGGGGGGUGUGUGCAUACUUACUACAGUACUCUAUAUUCUUUCUUGAAUUUUACAGCAAAAAUGUCAAUAUUUUAUUUUAUUUUUUAAUGAUGAUCUAGGAAAGAAAGAGGGUAUUUGUUUUGUUUGGGGGGGGGU
RNAcentral lists this long non-coding RNA (1420 nucleotides) under Sus scrofa (pig). RNAcentral describes it as "lncRNA (ENSSSCG00040046241.1)". Lineage: Eukaryota; Metazoa; Chordata; Mammalia; Artiodactyla; Suidae. The record is from RNAcentral.